UAAGGAAUAUUGGUCAAUGGACGCAAGUCUGAACCAGCCAUGCCGCGUGAAGGAUGAAGGUCCUCUGGAUUGUAAACUUCUUUUAUCUGGGACGAAAACGGGAUUUUUAUCUCAAUUGACGGUACCAGAGGAAUAAGCACCGGCUAACUCCGUUCCAGCAGCCGCGGUAAUACGGAGGGUGCGAGCGUUAUCCGGAUUUACUGGGUUUAAAGGGUGCGUAGGUGGGCUUAUAAGUCAGUGGUGAAAUCUCCGAGCUUAACUUGGAAACUGCCGUUGAUACUAUAGGUCUUGAAUUAUCUGGAGGUAAGCGGAAUAUGUCAUGUAGCGGUGAAAUGCUUAGAUAUGACAUAGAACACCAAUUGCGAAGGCAGCUUACUACAUAUAAAUUGACGCUGAGGCACGAAAGCGUGGGGAUCAAACA
This 421-nucleotide ribosomal RNA is filed under the name uncultured bacterium. Its description in RNAcentral is "bacterial SSU rRNA". It matches the Rfam family "Bacterial small subunit ribosomal RNA", at positions 355 to 774 of the family's 1533-position model. The record is from RNAcentral.